AUUCAAGAUGACAUUAGAGAGAUGACAAAGUCUAGGUUAAGGAGGAUCUUGUAGACUCUGAGUAUGGUGUUGAGCAGGGAAGAGACAGGCUCUGGCUUAGGGUUUAGAAGGAACGCAGGCUAUGUGGUGAGGAUUGUCUGAAGGGUAACAAAAGGCCAAGAUGUUAUUUGAAGCUGUGAGACUGAGUGAGAUCAUGGAGGAAGUGAAUGUAAAUAGAAAAGGGAAAAAGUCUGAAGAUGGAGCCCUGAGACACUCCAUUGUAAACUGGAAGAUGAGGAAGAGCCGGCAAAGGAGACUGAGAAGGGGCAGCCAGUGAAGAUGGAACCAGGGCUAGAGCGAAAGCCCCUCCUGUGAUGCUGUGAACCCCAAGUUUGAAGACUACUGAUAACCCCAAUCUACGAAGACUGGCUAUGGAACUUCCUACAUGGAGACAACGCCAGUGGAACUCUGAUAAUUAUCCUAAAACAAGGAGGCUUCUUCAGUAACCCUUGAACUAUGUUCAAAUAUGUGAUUACAUUUAUGUCCUUAAUAUCACUAUUAGUUUCUGAUGUUAAAGUAAAAGUUGAGGAAAAAGUAGAAAAGGUAAAGCAGUACAGGUUAGUUCAAUGCCAGAGUAACUUCUAGGAGGGUAUAUAUUCAGUGUGAACAAUUUUCAACAGAGAAAUGUCAACUUCUGGCCACAACAGCAACCAGUAAAAUAACUAUUUUUAGUGUCAUAUCUAUUAAUGAAGAGGAGAUUGCAUAAUAUAGAUGAGAGAGCGUAGUAUUUGAAGGUGGAACGCCUAGCAGGGCUUGAGUCUCAACUCUGCUGCUUUUACUCUAAUUGACCGAGACAAGUCAUUUAAACUAAAAGAGCCUCAAUUUUCUCAUAUCUAAUGUAACAUAAGAGUUCACAGCCUUUUACAUUGUAGUUACUGUGAAGAUCUAAUCACAAUGAAAUAUAUUUAUAUGUCUGUCUGCUGA
Molecule: long non-coding RNA, 963 nt
Organism: Cercocebus atys (sooty mangabey)
Lineage: Eukaryota; Metazoa; Chordata; Mammalia; Primates; Cercopithecidae
Exons: 3
Source: RefSeq, a predicted model, not a curated record